Cornus florida is the source of this 1181-nucleotide long non-coding RNA. RefSeq lists it as uncharacterized. The record is from RefSeq and is a predicted model, not a curated record. The transcript is spliced from 8 exons. NCBI's taxonomy places the organism in Eukaryota, Viridiplantae, Streptophyta, Magnoliopsida, Cornales, Cornaceae.
AUAACCAUGACUUCAUGGUAUAAUAUAUAAGCCCAUAUAUUAGAACUUGACCUAUUACUGUAUGUGAGAGGAGAGAGCUUGGUGGUGAACCAAUAGAGAGGUCACCACGGCAAAGAGAAAAGCAGAAAGAAAAGUGAAGGAUUAAAGAGAAAAGAGAGAAAAACAGAAAGAAAAGUGGAAGGAUGAAAAAGAAAAGAGAAAGAAAAUUGGAGAAAUCUAAACUAAAUAUCAGGGCAAUAUAUCUUGGGGAGACAAGCUACAUUAGCAUCUACAAUACUGUAGUUCCAAUUUUGAAGUCACGGACGUUAUAAUUAAGGUUAAAUCACGUGAAUCAGACCACAAGAGGUUGAGGACUAGAGAACAGGAUCAAGAUUAUGUAUAACAAUCGAGAUGUCCGUAAUAGUGACUACAAGGGGUGAAUUGCGAGAAAUAAUAGAGGAAGGGACACAAAUAGGGAUCAUGGCCAUCCUAGGGACCAUGCUUAUGAUAGGUUACAGUUUGUCAUUUCCUUGAAGCACAAGCGGACAAGUAGUUUUGACAUGGCACCAGCUGUUGCUUCCAUGAUGACUCGCGGUGCAGCUUCAGGACAACUAGGUGGUCCAAAAACAAUGCCAGGAAAUUUCCAAAAUAUGUUACCUUUUGAGACAACACAAGUAUUGGUUUACAAAGGAACUAGUUAAUGCCUUAUUCUGCUGGUUUUCCUUUUCAUUGUUUGCAUCCAAAUCAGUUGGGAGCUCUUCCAGACUUCCACUGAUGCCAGCCCAAGCCAUGACUCAGCAGGUUACAAGGUAUGCAUGUUGUGUAUAUGUUGGUGGUCUUCCUCCCCUGGCUAAUGAGCGAGUUGUAAAAUGGGAUUUUUUUCCUUGUUAGGAACACUAUGGUUAUUAUUUUUAUUUUUUUUUUUGUUUUUUCAGUGUCAAUAGAUUUCUCUUCCCAAAUAUGCUGUGUUUAAUUGACAUGGAUUGACAUUCCCAUAUUUAGAUGUUUCUUGGUGGUAUCAAUUCGUAGUUCUAACUUUUUUAUCUUCAGCGGUGUUAUGACUGCAAUUGGAGGAAAUUCUGCUUGUCCGGGUGAUGCGGUUGUAAAUGUGUACAUUAACCAUGAUAAGAAGUUUGCAUUUGAAGAUGAGAACAGUUGAAGAAGCAAGUAAUGCAAGUUCUCUAGAUGGGUUUGCGUUUGAG